Paramuricea clavata is the source of this 733-nucleotide non-coding RNA. NCBI's taxonomy places the organism in Eukaryota, Metazoa, Cnidaria, Anthozoa, Malacalcyonacea, Plexauridae. The record is from the annotation of a GenBank genome assembly.
GGCUGGUAGAUACCUAGGGGUAAGGGCCAGUUGUAUACUGCUAUUUUGUAGUAAACUAGCAGUUUACUGGAAAUUCGAGAUUUUCAUUAACUUUCGCACUACUGCGCAACUUUUUUAACCAACUGCCCUCUGGUCUCGAUAAUUAUGUGUAUAAAAUAUUCUAUAUCAAUCACAUGUAAAUAGAAUUGAAAAUGCCAUUAAAUGGACAAUGGUACUGUAUUUCGACUGUGCCUUUGUACAUUUAGAUGUACCUAGUAAUAAAAUUACUCAAUAUAUAUUGUUACAUAGCUAUACUAAACUUUCAAUGAAUAUGUAACUGUUUUGCAUACUAUGUAUAUUUUCAAAGAAUAAACUAAACCUAAGGUUAUUGUUGCACGAGGAAUUAUGGUUUCUUUGAUCAAAGUGUAAGAAAAUGCUUUUUAUCAACCGUGUACAUAUUUCAGUAUCAUCAAUUAACAUUGCAGUUUUUAUAGUUCAAAUUUCAAUGCCCUCUCAUUCAAUUCUCUAUCCAGAACAGGGUACUUGUAGACUGCGCACCUCCGUCACCGAAUGAACAUGCAUGAAUUAGAUAAUUACGCAUUCGAUUUACUGCAUGCUGACAGACAGACACUGUCAGACAGAAAUUUUUAUUUAAAUUCGGUGAACUCUUCACUGAAAACACUGCUUUAUAAGAGGGCUGACAUUAUUAAAAAUAGACAGACACACAGACAAGCAAAUAGACAGACAGACAAAC